This 524-nucleotide ribosomal RNA is filed under the name uncultured bacterium. RNAcentral describes it as "partial 16S ribosomal RNA". It matches the Rfam family "Bacterial small subunit ribosomal RNA", at positions 28 to 523 of the family's 1533-position model. The record is from RNAcentral.
GACGAACGCUGGCGGCGUGCCUAAUACAUGCAAGUCGAACGUAGCUGUUUUAACUGGUGCUUGCACCGACUUAAACAACUGAGUGGCGAACGGGUGAGUAACACGUGGGUAACCUGCCCCAAAGCGGGGGAUAACAUUUGGAAACAGAUGCUAAUACCGCAUAACCACAGAAACCACAUGGUUUCUGUGUCAAAGAUGGUUUCGGCUAUCACUGUGGGAAGGACCCGCGGCGUAUUAGCUAGUUGGUAAGGUAAUGGCUUACCAAGGCAAUGAUACGUAGCCGAACUGAGAGGUUGAUCGGCCACAUUGGGACUGAGACACGGCCCAAACUCCUACGGGAGGCAGCAGUAGGGAAUCUUCCACAAUGGACGAAAGUCUGAUGGAGCAACGCCGCGUGAGUGAAGAAGGUUUUCGGAUCGUAAAACUCUGUUGUCAGAGAAGAACGUGUGCGAGAGUAACUGCUCGUGCAGUGACGGUAUCUGGCCAGAAAGCCAUGGCUAACUACUUGCCAGCCGCCGCCGUAA